GACGAACGCUGGCGGCGUGCUUAACACAUGCAAGUCGAACGGCAAGGCCCUGCUUUUGUGGGGUGCUCGAGUGGCGAACGGGUGCGUAACACGUGAGUAACCUGCCCUUGACUUUGGGAUAACUUCAGGAAACUGGGGCUAAUACCGGAUAGGAGCUCCUGCUGCAUGGUGGGCGUUGGAAAGUUUCGGCGGUUGGGGAUGGACUCGCGGCUUAUCAGCUUGUUGGUGGGGUAGUGGCUUACCAAGGCUUUGACGGGUAGCCGGCCUGAGAGGGUGACCGGCCACAUUGGGACUGAGGUACGGCCCAGACUCCUACGGGAGGCAGCAGGGGGGAAUAUUGCACAAUGGGCGGAAGCCUGAUGCAGCAACGCCGCGUGCGGGAUGACGGCCUUCGGGUUGUAAACCGCUUUCGCCUGUGACGAAGCGUGAGUGACGGUAAUGAGUAAAGAAGCACCGGCUAACUACGUG
Molecule: ribosomal RNA, 468 nt
Filed under: uncultured bacterium
Lineage: Bacteria
Description: partial 16S ribosomal RNA
Rfam family: Bacterial small subunit ribosomal RNA
Source: RNAcentral